Molecule: ribosomal RNA, 618 nt
Filed under: Cortinarius fulvescens
Lineage: Eukaryota; Fungi; Basidiomycota; Agaricomycetes; Agaricales; Cortinariaceae
Description: eukaryotic LSU rRNA
Rfam family: Eukaryotic large subunit ribosomal RNA
Source: RNAcentral
UGUGACCUCAAAUCAGGUAGGACUACCCGCUGAACUUAAGCAUAUCAAUAAGCGGAGGAAAAGAAACUAACAAGGAUUCCCCUAGUAACUGCGAGUGAAGCGGGAAAAGCUCAAAUUUAAAAUCUGGCGGUCUUUUGGCUGUCCGAGUUGUAAUCUAGAGAAGUGCUAUCCGCGCUGGACCGUGUACAAGUCUCCUGGAAUGGAGCAUCAUAGAGGGUGAGAAUCCCGUCUUUGACAUGGACUACCAGGGCUUUGUGAUGCGCUCUCAAAGAGUCGAGUUGUUUGGGAAUGCAGCUCAAAAUGGGUGGUAAAUUCCAUCUAAAGCUAAAUAUUGGCGAGAGACCGAUAGCGAACAAGUACCGUGAGGGAAAGAUGAAAAGAACUUUGGAAAGAGAGUUAAACAGUACGUGAAAUUGCUGAAAGGGAAACGCUUGAAGUCAGUCGCGUCAUCCAGGGAUCAACCUUGCUUUUGCUUGGUGCACUUUCUGGUUUGAUGGGUCAGCAUCAAUUUUGACCAUUGGAAAAAGGUCAAGGGAAUGUGGCAUCUUUGGAUGUGUUAUAGCCCUUGGUCACAUACAAUGGCUGGGAUUGAGGAACUCAGCACGCCGCAAGGCCGGG